This 385-nucleotide transfer-messenger RNA is filed under the name Helicobacter pylori. It matches the Rfam family "transfer-messenger RNA". From Rfam's summary of the family: Bacterial tmRNA, also known as 10Sa RNA or SsrA, is named for its dual tRNA and mRNA-like properties. Its role is to liberate the mRNA from a stalled ribosome. To accomplish this part of the tmRNA is used as a reading frame that ends in a translation stop signal. Lineage: Bacteria; Pseudomonadati; Campylobacterota; Epsilonproteobacteria; Campylobacterales; Helicobacteraceae. The record is from RNAcentral.
GGGGCUGACUUGGAUUUCGACAGAUUUCUUGUCGCACAGAUAGCAUGCCAAGUGCUGCUUGUAAAACAGCAACAAAAAUAACUGUAAACAACACAGAUUACGCUCCAGCUUACGCUAAAGUUGCGUGAGUUAAUCUCCUUUUGGAGCUGGACUGAUUAGAAUUUCUAGCGUUUUAAUCACUCCAUAACCUUAAGCUAGACGCUUUUAAAAGGUGGUUCGCCUUUUAAACUAAGAAUAAGAACUCUUGAAACUACCUCAAGGUUUUAGAAAGUUGGACCAGAGCUAGUUUUAAGGCUAAAAAACUAACCAAUUUUCUAAGCAUUGUAGAAGUUUGUGUUUAGGACAAGAUUUUUGGACUGGGGUUCGAUUCCCCACAGCUCCACCA